RNAcentral lists this small nuclear RNA (19 nucleotides) under Arabidopsis thaliana (thale cress). RNAcentral's name for it is "snRNA_18693". The record is from RNAcentral. Lineage: Eukaryota; Viridiplantae; Streptophyta; Magnoliopsida; Brassicales; Brassicaceae.
UCAGCCCUUUGUCGCUAAG